This 428-nucleotide ribosomal RNA is filed under the name uncultured bacterium. RNAcentral describes it as "partial 16S ribosomal RNA". It matches the Rfam family "Bacterial small subunit ribosomal RNA", at positions 354 to 796 of the family's 1533-position model. The record is from RNAcentral.
GUAGGGAAUAUUGCGCAAUGGGGGAAACCCUGACGCAGCGACGCCGCGUGAGUGAUGAAGGCCUUAGGGUCGUAAAGCUCUGUUGAAUGGGAAGAAAAAAAUGACGGUACCAUUCGAGGAAGGACCGGCUAACUUCGUGCCAGCAGCCGCGGUAAUACGAGGGGUCCUAGCGUUGUUCGGAAUCAUUGGGCGUAAAGGGUGUGUAGGUGGCCAUGUAAGUCAGGUGUGAAAGCCCCGGGCUCAACCCGGGAAGUGCACUUGAUACUGCGUGGCUUGAGUACCGAAGAGGGUAGUGGAAUUCCAGGUGUAGUGGUGAAAUACGUAGAUAUCUGGAGGAACACCGGUGGCGAAGGCGGCUACCUGGUCGAGUACUGACACUGAGACACGAAAGCAUGGGGAUCAAACAGGAUUAGAAACCCCUGUAGUCC